This 294-nucleotide ribosomal RNA is filed under the name uncultured bacterium. RNAcentral's name for it is "partial 16S ribosomal RNA". It matches the Rfam family "Archaeal small subunit ribosomal RNA", at positions 454 to 747 of the family's 1478-position model. The record is from RNAcentral.
GUUGCCAGCCGCCGCGGUAAUACCGGCAGCCCGAGUGAUGGCCGAUCUUAUUGGGCCUAAAGCGUCCGUAGCUGGCCGCGCAAGUCCAUCGGAAAAUCCACCCGCCCAACGGGUGGGCGUCCGGUGGAAACUGCGUGGCUUGGGACCGGAAGGCGCGACGGGUACGUCCGGGGUAGGAGUGAAAUCCCGUAAUCCUGGACGGACCGCCGAUGGCGAAAGCACGUCGCGAAGACGGAUCCGACAGUGAGGGACGAAAGCUAGGGUCUCGAACCGGAUUAGAAACCCGAGUAGUCC